GAUCAUGGCUCAGGACGAACGCUGGCGGCGUGCUUAACACAUGCAAGUCGAACGAGAAUCUGUGGAUCGAGGAUUCGUCCAAGUGAAGCAGAGGACAGUGGCGGAUGGGUGAGUAACGCGUGAGGAACCUGCCUUUCAGAGGGGGACGAACAGUUGGAAACGACUGCUAAUACCGCAUGAUACAUUUGGGUGGCAUCAUCUGAAUGUCAAAGAUUUAUCG
Molecule: ribosomal RNA, 220 nt
Filed under: uncultured bacterium
Lineage: Bacteria
Description: partial 16S ribosomal RNA
Rfam family: Bacterial small subunit ribosomal RNA
Source: RNAcentral